This is a long non-coding RNA of Cloeon dipterum, 760 nucleotides long. RefSeq lists it as uncharacterized. The record is from RefSeq and is a predicted model, not a curated record. Lineage: Eukaryota; Metazoa; Arthropoda; Insecta; Ephemeroptera; Baetidae. The transcript is spliced from 3 exons.
GUGAAAUUCGCCUUACUUGGUUGGAAGAAGGACGCAGACGCUCCACCAAACCUGGAAUCGGUCAUCGAACUCUGGGAAGAUUUAAAAAUCUCCGGCGGAAAUGACAUCGUUACGAUUGCCUGCCACGAUGGAGUGACAGCCAGCGGCCUUUUCCUCGCAAUUGGCUUUGUAAUCGAAAAAAUCAAUAUGGAGCAAAAGGUUGACGUCGGUCUGGCCGUGCGAACCCUGAGAAAGGCAAAACCGGCGUUCAUUUCUUCAGAAACGCAGUUUGGUCUUGUCUACAAAGCUGCCAAUUUCUAUUUGAGCUCCUUCGAAACCUAUAACAACUUCAAUUAGGGAUUGAAAUUAGUGUUUUUAUAAUAUUACUUAAUGUUACCAGCGGGGGCCAGACGUGCGAUAAAAUUGGUUCGCACUGCGCAGAACCAAGAUGACGUCUGAAUGUGGGAAACGAAAAGCUCUCUUUGGAUGUCCGUACGAGUGUCAAGAGAUGUUUUUACGAUCCAACAGACACAAUUAGUUAAGAGUAAUGCAAAUUAUGUCCCAAUAUUGACGAAAACUUGCUUCUUUUCGCGCAUUUUAACGUGGCCGUUUUUCGCGCCAUACUCCACCGGACGCCAUAUCUGCGCGUCGAACGAAUCUGGCUCGAGCUGAAUAUUACUAGCUUUGAUUUUAUACUAAUAAUUAGACAACAUUUACUUUAGUUGUUGAUAUCAAGAAACAAUUAUUACAGUUAGCGCUUUAAACUAACACCAUUUAUUUA